UACGUAGGGGGCAAGCGUUGUCCGGAUUCAUUGGGCGUAAAGAGCGUGUAGGCGGCCAGAUAGGUCGGUUGUGAAAACUGGAGGCUUAACCUCGGAACUGCGUCUGAAACUACUCGACUAGAGUACUGGAGGGGGAAACGGAAUUCACGGUGUAGCAGUGAAAUGCGUAGAUAUCGUGAGGAACACCAGAGGCGAAGGCGGUUUCCUGGACAGUUACUGACGCUCAGGCACGAAAGCAUGGGGAGCAAAAGGG
RNAcentral lists this ribosomal RNA (253 nucleotides) under uncultured bacterium. Its description in RNAcentral is "partial 16S ribosomal RNA". It matches the Rfam family "Bacterial small subunit ribosomal RNA", at positions 524 to 776 of the family's 1533-position model. The record is from RNAcentral.